This 322-nucleotide long non-coding RNA is filed under the name Androctonus crassicauda. The record is from RNAcentral. Lineage: Eukaryota; Metazoa; Arthropoda; Arachnida; Scorpiones; Buthidae.
GUUUUUCGUGUAGAGCAUGAUUUCCAUGCAUUGCUUAUGGCUGAUGGAUCGAUCUUGUUGAUGGGCUUAACAUCAGAAGUUUUGUUCGUAUAAAUCGUAAUGGCUUCAGCAACUCUUCUCUUUUUAAGGUCUUCUUGUUCCCAUAUUAGUUUGGCAUCAUUCCAUUCUAUGGAUAAAUCAGUUAUUUGGACCCUUUAUGCCAAGGCUGUAGAGUCUCUUCUUUUUUCAAUGUCUUUAUUGUGUUCAUCCAAUCAUUUAGGCCAGUGGUCUCCAAACUACGGCCCGCGGGCCAGAUGCGGCCCGCGGACAGAUUUUGUCCGAC